UAGGGAAUCUUCCGCAAUGGACGCAAGUCUGACGGAGCAACGCCGCGUGAGUGAAGAAGGAUUUCGGUUCGUAAAACUCUGUUGUUAGAGAAGAACAGCGCAUAGAGUAACUGUUAUGCGUGUGACGGUAUCUAACCAGAAAGCCACGGCUAACUACGUGCCAGCAGCCGCGGUAAUACGUAGGUGGCAAGCGUUGUCCGGAUUUAUUGGGCGUAAAGCGAGCGCAGGCGGUCAAUUAAGUCUGAUGUGAAAGCCCCCGGCUCAACCGGGGAGGGUCAUUGGAAACUGGUUGACUUGAGUGCAGAAGAGGAGAGUGGAAUUCCAUGUGUAGCGGUGAAAUGCGUAGAUAUAUGGAGGAACACCAGUGGCGAAGGCGACUCUCUGGUCUGUAACUGACGCAGAGGCUCGAAAGCGUGGGUAGCAAACAGG
RNAcentral lists this ribosomal RNA (429 nucleotides) under Bacteroidota bacterium. RNAcentral describes it as "Bacteroidetes bacterium partial 16S ribosomal RNA". It matches the Rfam family "Bacterial small subunit ribosomal RNA", at positions 355 to 776 of the family's 1533-position model. Lineage: Bacteria; Pseudomonadati; Bacteroidota. The record is from RNAcentral.